GAUGAACGCUGGCGGCGUGCCUAAUACAUGCAAGUCGAGCGAACAGAUAAGGAGCUUGCUCCUUUGACGUUAGCGGCGGACGGGUGAGGAACACGUGGGUAACCUACCUAUAAGACUGGGAUAACUUCGGGAAACCGGAGCUAAUACCGGAUAACAUUUGGAACCGCAUGGUUCUAAAGUGAAAGAUGGUUUUGCUAUCACUUAUAGAUGGACCCGCGCCGUAUUAGCUAGUUGGUAAGGUAACGGCUUACCAAGGCGACGAUACGUAGCCGACCUGAGAGGGUGAUCGGCCACACUGGAACUGAGACACGGUCCAGACUCCUACGGGAGGCAGCAGUAGGGAAUCUUCCGCAAUAGGCGAAAGCCUGACGGAGCAACGCCGCGUGAGUGAUGAAGGGUUUCGGCUCGUAAAACUCUGUUAUUAGGGAAGAACAAAUGUGUAAGUAACUGUGCACGUCUUGACGGUACCUAAUCAGAAAGCCACGGCUAACUACGUG
This 497-nucleotide ribosomal RNA is filed under the name uncultured bacterium. RNAcentral's name for it is "partial 16S ribosomal RNA". It matches the Rfam family "Bacterial small subunit ribosomal RNA", at positions 28 to 507 of the family's 1533-position model. The record is from RNAcentral.